RNAcentral lists this ribosomal RNA (497 nucleotides) under uncultured bacterium. RNAcentral describes it as "partial 16S ribosomal RNA". It matches the Rfam family "Bacterial small subunit ribosomal RNA", at positions 28 to 507 of the family's 1533-position model. The record is from RNAcentral.
GAUGAACGCUGGCGGCGUGCCUAAUACAUGCAAGUCGAGCGAACAGACGAGGAGCUUGCUCCGCUGACGUUAGCGGCGGACGGGUGAGUAACACGUGGAUAACCUACCUAUAAGACUGGGAUAACUUCGGGAAACCGGAGCUAAUACCGGAUAAUAUAUUGAACCGCAUGGUUCAAUAGUGAAAGACGGUUUUGCUGUCACUCAUAGAUGGAUCCGCGCCGCAUUAGCUAGUUGGGAAGGUAACGGCUUACCAAGGCGACGAUGCGUAGCCGACCUGAUAGGGUGAUCGGCCACACUGGAACUGAGACACGGUCCGGACUCCUACGGGAGGCAGCAGUGGGGAAUCUUCCGCAAUGGGCGAAAGCCUGACGGAGCAACGCCGCGUGAGUGAUGAAGGUCUUCGGAUCGUAAAACUCUGUUAGUAGGGAAGAACAAGUGUGUAAGUAACUAUGCACGUCUUGACGGUACCUAAUCAGACAGCCACGGCUAACUACGUG